UACGUAGGGUCCGAGCGUUGUCCGGAAUUAUUGGGCGUAAAGGGCUCGUAGGCGGUUUGUCGCGUCGGGAGUGAAAACACGGGGCUUAACCCCGUGCCUGCUUCCGAUACGGGCAGACUAGAGGUAUGCAGGGGAGAACGGAAUUCCUGGUGUAGCGGUGAAAUGCGCAGAUAUCAGGAGGAACACCGGUGGCGAAGGCGGUUCUCUGGGCAUUACCUGACGCUGAGGAGCGAAAGUGUGGGGAGCGAGCAGG
RNAcentral lists this ribosomal RNA (253 nucleotides) under uncultured bacterium. Its description in RNAcentral is "partial 16S ribosomal RNA". It matches the Rfam family "Bacterial small subunit ribosomal RNA", at positions 524 to 776 of the family's 1533-position model. The record is from RNAcentral.